This 402-nucleotide ribosomal RNA is filed under the name uncultured cyanobacterium. RNAcentral's name for it is "partial 16S ribosomal RNA". It matches the Rfam family "Bacterial small subunit ribosomal RNA", at positions 355 to 774 of the family's 1533-position model. Lineage: Bacteria; Bacillati; Cyanobacteriota. The record is from RNAcentral.
UGGGGAAUUUUCCGCAAUGGGCGAAAGCCUGACGGAGCAAUACCGCGUGAGGGAAGAAGGUCUGUGGAUUGUAAACCUCUUUUGUUAGGGAAGAUAAUGACGGUACCUAACGAAUAAGCAUCGGCUAACUCCGUGCCAGCAGCCGCGGUAAGACGGAGGAUGCAAGCGUUAUCCGGAAUUAUUGGGCGUAAAGCGUACGUAGGCUGUUUCAUAAGUCUGUUGUCAAAGCGCGAGGCUUAACCUUGUAGAGGCAAUGGAAACUGUGAGGCUAGAGAGAGAUAGGGGCAGGAGGAAUUCCAGGUGUAGCGGUGAAAUGCGUAGAUAUCUGGAAGAACACCAGUGGCGAAAGCGUCCUGCUGGAUCUCAACUGACGCUGAAGUACGAAAGCUAGGGGAGCGAAUG